Long non-coding RNA from Zalophus californianus (California sea lion), 879 nucleotides. RefSeq lists it as uncharacterized. The record is from RefSeq and is a predicted model, not a curated record. NCBI's taxonomy places the organism in Eukaryota, Metazoa, Chordata, Mammalia, Carnivora, Otariidae. The transcript is spliced from 3 exons.
CGAAGGAGGGUCAACACCGCUGCCAAUCAACUACGAAUCCCUUCGGCCAGUGCGAAGAAGGGCGGGUUCCUGAUGGUUAUUGCUGAAGGUCAUCUUGCAAUCAUAAUAAGAACCACAAGGGCUGGUCCAGCCACAACGAAGUUGGUAGGAUUGCGUGAUUGCCCUUGCAAUUAACUGAGGGGAAUGUCUUCACCUGCAACAUGCUUCCUAACAGCCUAACUCACUCAGCCACGCAAGCUAAUGGGGGACAGCUUGAUCCAGACUUCGGAGAAACCACAACAGCUCACGUAUGGACAGUGUUCACGCCUGUUGCCUAUGGGCCCCUCAGAAGGAUCACCAGAGACAUUCAAACUGCAAACCUGGAAAAUCUGCCAGAUUGCCGCUGCCUGCCCUCCCUCCUUGUGAAGACAUUUCGAGCCCGAGUUGUGAAGACCUAGAAGUCUCCUCCACUGGCUGCCCUCAGAGCUCAGUCUGCGCCAGACAUUCAUCUUUGUGGUACUGUGUCACAUCAUCGCAAGAAGUAGGCUGAGUAUAGUACAAUGAGGUAUUCUAAGAGAGAGGCCACAUUCACAUAACUCUUUUUUAAAAAAUAUUUUAUUUAUUUAUUUGAGAGAGAGUGAGCACAAGCAUCAGUGGGGGAGGGGCAGAGGGAGAGGGAGAAGCAGAUUCCCCCAUGAGCAGGGGGCCGGAUUCAGGAUCCCAGGGAUCACAACCUGAACCAAAGGCAGCCACUUAACUGCUGAGCCACCCAGGCGUCCCUCACAUAACUUCUAUCAUGGUUUAUUGUUAUUAUGUUAUGUAUAAUUUAUAUAUUAUAAUACAGUAUAUUAGUACUGUGGCUCUAACUGUUCUAUAAUUGUUCUAUUUUAUUAUUACUUC